AAAUGUACAGUAUAUUUAUGAAUAUAUUAGCCUACUGUAUCAUAGUUGAUACAGAAUGCAUUCUGACCUUUGACUGAUGGCAUCAUCAAGUCUUUUUGCUGUGAAAUCUUUAAUGAUUUUUAUGAUGUAAGAAUAACUUUUAUAUUGUUUAAUAAUGUUUCAUGAUUAACAUUUACUGGACUGAAGCAGCUUGGUGAUUAUCAACAUAAAUUUUAGCAUUAAAUAUUAUCAUCAUCAUCAUUACUACUACUACUACUACUACUACUAUUAUUAUUUUACAUUAUUUUUGUGUUCAAAUGUAAAUGUCAAAUAUGACACAGCAGGCAUUUGAGGAUGGUUUAUAUGCAUAUAUGAGCCAUAAAAGCCUGAUGUAUUAAAUAUGAUUCUUAACUAAACACACACACACACACACACAUACAUGUCAGCGGUGCGUGGGGGCCCUGUACCAGGACAUUUUAAAAGGCAUUAACAAAUCAAACAGAAUCUGUUUUUGCUUUGAAAAACUCAAGACGCGGCAGUGGAAUAAAAAAAAAAAAAAAUGCAAGGUCUAUUUUUUCCAACUUUUAAAUUCUUUUGACUUGAGCACCAUGUCUCUGGAAUGCUGUGUCAUGCUUGAGACACUGUAAAAGUCACGAGACCAGAGCGCAAAGAUAGUGCAGUGGAUCUGCGUGUGAAACCCUUAAAGGUGGGGUAUGUAUUUUUUCAAAAACACUUUAGAAAACCGAGUCGGCUUGAUAAGUCAAGUAGGACCCUUGUAAAUAUUGGAUCAGGUUUCCAGCACUGGAGAGAACUCAAGGUGCGAGAAGGCCUGCCAAGGUUGCUUAGCUUCUUCUGGAUAGUGUUUUCAGCAUGGGCGGUUCUAGGAUUUCAUCAUCGGGGGGACCUCAGAGACCACUAGAUACAAAGCAACCGACUGUGUUUAUGUGGAUACUCAUCAAGACAGCCAUUUUGACAUAAUUUUAUACUGGCAGUGUAAAGGAAAUAUAUGCAUUUAUUUGUAAAUGUAACUGACUUAAAACAAAAGAGAAUGAGGCGAGUUCAAAGAUUUGUUAUGCUGAGGCUUUGAUUUAUAUGAAAACGCUCCGGUUACUGACGUAACCUCAGUUCUGACUGAUGUGACAGCCAUCGAUUCA
Long non-coding RNA from Cyprinus carpio carpio, 1133 nucleotides. NCBI's taxonomy places the organism in Eukaryota, Metazoa, Chordata, Actinopteri, Cypriniformes, Cyprinidae. The record is from Ensembl.